Bos taurus (domestic cattle) is the source of this 73-nucleotide non-coding RNA. Lineage: Eukaryota; Metazoa; Chordata; Mammalia; Artiodactyla; Bovidae. The record is from Rfam.
UCCCUGGUGGCUUAGAUGGUAAAGCGUCUGCCUACAAUGUGGGAUACCCGGGUUUGAUCCCCCGGUCAGGAAG